GGGAGACGGGAGAGAGCGCUAGCAAGGAGGGAAUGGCGUGCGUGUGUUGGCGUGGGUUGUGGCCACAGCAGCCCGGGUGUGAGUGAACUGUAAAAAGGUUGACCGCUAUUAUAAUAAAGCGACUGAAGUGCAUCGGCGACGGAUUCAGGGGUUUUCUGGAUCUUGAGAUGCUAUCCCAGCUGACUUCAGAAUGCUAGCCCGCCACGGCGAGCCCACCGACAGAGAUAUUGAUGGACAUGACUGCGCCAGAUACCUGCGUGCCAUGGAGAACAACCGAAGCUCACCUGCUGUGUGUUUUUUCUUUCUUCCGCUUCUCUGAGCCAUCUGGGUCGGUUCUGACCAUCUGUGAUCUUUGGCGUGGUCGGGGAGGUAAGAGCAAACAUCUGGGAAGCUGGACUAAUCAUUUUCAUCCAUUUGCAACACCAAAUGUCACUGAGGUCACUCUUGCUUUCCGGAAAAUGAAAAUAUGUGUAUGUGUGAGAAUAACAAACCGUGACAUCACAUUUUUUUUAGUUCGUUAUGGAAAAAAAAACAAAAAUGUGUACUCAACCCUUGUAGAACUGGUCUUGUCAAACAUAAAACCCCACAAACAAUAGAAAUAAUCCACUCAGUUCAAGUAUUUUUAAAGAGGUGACCUUAAAGACGGAAGAUGGUUUCCAAGCCCUGGAUUGUCCUUGGCACUAUCAUCAGUCAUGACUCCCGCUUUGCGAUUCCACUUCUUCGGCUUCACUCGAUCACAGUUUAUCAAAACGAUAUUAAUUUAUUUUUUAUAUUAAUUUCUAUAUUAUUUUUUUAAUUUGAAUACAGCCUACUAUUGCAGAAAAAUGUACAUUUAAGCAAGUUUUAAGUUUUUUUUUGCCUAAAUUAAACAUUUUCAAACAUAAAAAUGAAAUAAAAUACAGAUACACUAAUCCCUCAUUCAUUGUUCUUAACUGGUUUGCAGACCCAACUGUGAUAAGUGAAUUUUGCAAAAUAUAUAUAUUUUUUGUAGAGCAUAGAAAAGUUUUCAACCUUCCAAAAAUUAAUGUUUAAUAUGUGUGUAGCCCUCUAGACAUGAACUAACACCUCAAAAUUCAACUCCACACUCGCCUCACACUCGUUAAGGAUUAUUAUGCCUGUUAGACAUAGACAUGGACUUUCUUUAUUGUCAUUGCACAAUAACACAGCAGUGAAAUUGCCAACGAAAUGUCGUUGCCUGGCUCCUGUGUAAUAAUAAGUAAUAAAUAAUAAAUAAUAAAUAAUAAAUAAUAAAUAAUAAAUAAUAAAUAAUAAAUAAUAAAUAAUAAAGUGGAGAAUAAAUAGAUGCCAUCAAAUAUGAACAACAAUGUACAGCGUAAACAGUAAUUUGUACAAAUAAUUUAAAUUAUUUAGAAUAAAUAACAAUAAUUUAAAGUUGUGUUGUUGUGACAUCAUUCAAACCUGCAAUAAAAGCCUGUUUUUCCUGAAAUCAAUUCUGGUGCUUGUGUGUCUCACUCAACAUUACGGUAACAUUACUGACACCUAGUGACCAGUGUAGAAUACUACAUUCAUCACAACGCCUUUUAAUGAUUUUUCUGAAUGCAAGAUUUGCAUUUUAGUUUGCUUAGUCAUAUUUAUGUUUGAAAUUAUUUAAUUUGUAAUCAAUAAUAGGCCGCAUUUAACCAGGAAACAGCUAAUUUAUUAAUAUUACUUGAAAAAUUUUAAAAAUUCCAAGAGUCUGUACUGUACAGAGUGAACUCGCAACUGAAACCAGGAAAAUGCAACAAAAAGUACAAAUAUUCAAGAGUCCAACUUUAUGUUGAGUAGGACAAAUAUGUACAUGUUGGCAGGGCUGCAUUAACACUGAAAGUAUUCCCUUUCUCUCACGCCACCCCUGACAUUCACUGUGUCCACCCAGGGGGGGACCCGCCCCACUAUUUGAGACACACAAGCACCAGUCUUGACUGCUGGAAAAACAGGCUUUUAUUGUGGGUUUAUGACGGCUUACAGUAAUAAAACAAUGAUUUGCAUUGCUUCAAUGAAAUGUAAAAAGAAGUGAAGCAGUGUUAGUGGUAUAAAGAGUGACUGGAGUUGAGGACACGUUUGGUGAUGCUGGAGUCAGUAAUGUUACUGUAAUGUUGUAUGAGACACACAAGCACCAGACUUGAUCUCUUGAGUCUAUAUUGUGUCUUAUGUAUGUCUGAAAUGGCUUAUUGUCGCUUAUUAUGU
Molecule: non-coding RNA, 2187 nt
Organism: Doryrhamphus excisus (bluestripe pipefish)
Lineage: Eukaryota; Metazoa; Chordata; Actinopteri; Syngnathiformes; Syngnathidae
Source: RefSeq, a predicted model, not a curated record